ACCCACGUGCGCGCGCACACACGCCCCCUUCCUCCAUUCCGCUGCUCCUCAUUUUGAAGCGCAACGCUGCACACUCUUGUUGCAAAAUGGCAAUGAAAUUGGCAUACUGGGAUAUUCGUGGGCUUGCUCAACCAAUCCGUCUGCUGUUGGAGUACACUGGUACUAAGUAUGAGGAGAAGUUCUAUUCUUGUGGCGAUGCUCCCAACUAUGACAAAAGCUGUUGGUUUAAUGAGAAAGAGAAACUUGGGAUGGACUUUCCUAAUUUGCCCUACCUAGAGGAUGGAGACAGGAAAGUGGUCCAAAGCAAUGCCAUAUUGAGAUACAUCGCCCGCAAGCACAACCUCUGUGGGGAAACUGAAGAGGAGCAGGUGAGAGUUGACAUCUUGGAAAACCAGGCGAUGGACUUCCGCAAUGGUUUUGUCCAGCUCUGCUAUGGAGACUUUGACAAAAACAAAUCAUGCUACACUGACAAACUGCCAGGAACUCUAAAGCAGUUCUCCAACUUCCUUGGUGACAGGAAGUGGUUUGCUGGGGACAAGAUCACAUUUGUGGACUUCACCAUGUAUGAGUUGUUGGAUCAGCAUCGUAUGUUUGACCCAGCGUGCCUGGAUGACUACAAAAACCUUAGAUGCUUUCUUGAACGCUUUGAGAGUCUUGAGAAGAUUGCGGAAUACAUGAAGUCAAACAGGUUCAUGAAAACACCAGUGAACAACAAGAUGGCCAAAUGGGGAAACAAGAAGGAGUGAAGCGAACAAGAUUGUGUCUUGAUAAAGCAUCAUAAGCUUGCUCAACCAAUCCGUCUGCUGUUGGAGUACACUGGUACUAAGUAUGAGGAGAAGUUCUAUUCUUGUGGCGAUGCUCCCAACUAUGACAAAAGCUGCUGGUUUAAUGAGAAAGAGAAACUUGGGAUGGACUUUCCUAAUUAGCCCUACCUAGAGGAUGGAGACAGGAAAGUGGUCCAAAGCAAUGCCAUAUUGAGAUACAUCGCCCGCAAGCACAACCUCUGUGGGGAAACUGAAGAGGAGCAGAUGAGAGUUGACAUCUUGGAAAACCAGGCGAUGGAUUUCCGCAAUGGUUUUGCCCAGCUCUGCUAUGGAGACUUUG
This is an RNA transcript of Carassius auratus (goldfish), 1104 nucleotides long. It is a transcript of the gene named glutathione S-transferase Mu 3-like, with no coding region annotated. The transcript has 12 exons. Lineage: Eukaryota; Metazoa; Chordata; Actinopteri; Cypriniformes; Cyprinidae. The record is from RefSeq and is a predicted model, not a curated record.